CUUGGACACCCAUGGCAACCUGGACGAGCAGAUCGCGCAGCUCAUGCAGUGCAAGCCGCUCGCCGAACAGGAGGUUAGGGUGCUUUGCGAAAAAACUAAGGAGGUUUUAAUGGAAGAAAGCAAUGUUCAGGCCAACUGUUCAAUCUGUUCAAAGCUCACAAAAAUCCUAGACAAAAUCCAAUUGCUUAUUCCUAUA
This is a long non-coding RNA of Zingiber officinale, 196 nucleotides long. RefSeq lists it as uncharacterized. The transcript is spliced from 3 exons. The record is from RefSeq and is a predicted model, not a curated record. Lineage: Eukaryota; Viridiplantae; Streptophyta; Magnoliopsida; Zingiberales; Zingiberaceae.